ACUCAAAUGAAUAGACGGGGCUCCGCACAAGCAGUGGAUCAUGUGGUUUAAUCCGAUGCUACGCGAAGAACCUUACCAGGGCUUGACAUCCUGAUCGUCGGCCUAGGAAACUAGGCUUUCAGUUCGGCUGGAUCAGUGACAGAUGUUGCAUGGCCGUCGUCAGCUCGUGUCGUGAGAUGUUGGGUUAAGUCCCGCAACGAGCGCAACCCUUGUCGUGUGUUGUAUGUUUCACACGAGACUGCCCGAGCCAAUCGGGAGGAAGGUGGGGAUGAGGUCAGGUCUGCAUGGCUCUUAAGCCCUGGGCUACACACGUGAUACAAUGGCCGGUACAACGGGUCGCGAAAGCGCGAGCUGAAGCUAAUCCCAUCAAAACCGGUCCCAGUUCGGAUUGCAGGCUGAAACUCGCCUGCAUGAAGUUGGAAUUGCUAGUAACCGUGGGUCAGCACACCACGGUGAAUACGUUCCCGGAGCUUGUACACACCGCCCGU
Molecule: ribosomal RNA, 488 nt
Filed under: uncultured bacterium
Lineage: Bacteria
Description: partial 16S ribosomal RNA
Rfam family: Bacterial small subunit ribosomal RNA
Source: RNAcentral